Molecule: long non-coding RNA, 1530 nt
Filed under: Pandoravirus quercus
Description: hypothetical ncRNA
Source: RNAcentral
UGUUCCUCUUUUUAUUAUGCUUUCUUUUUUUCUGCGUCCUCGCUGUCGGUUGUCCAGCGUGUCUGAAAAAAAGGGGGCUUCACAAAAAAAGGCGAGAAAGACGGCACCAACAACGACGACAAAAAGGGCACGCCUCGGUACAAAAGAAAAAAAGGGAGAAAAGGCGACAGAGCCGGGCCUAGACGGUGGCGGCGCCGAGGUCGACGGGACUCACGCAAUAGCCGCGGUCGACAAGAUCGCUCACGAGCCGGUAGAGCCACACGCUGUCGACGCCGACGGCGCCCGUCCCCGCGUCCCUCCUGCUGGCGGUGGCGGCAUGGCGCGCCGUGGCCUCGUCGACGAGUCGCGCAUAGUCGGGCCAGCGGUCCCACUCGACGGCCUGGUAAAAGGCCGGCGCCAGGGGCAGGCCAUAGGCACACAGGGCCGCGCUCUGCACCGUGCGCUCGGGCGACAGGGGCGCGAUUCCGUAGCGCGUGAUCCCGCCCGGCAGGCCCGUGGUCGUGAUGACGACGGGGCGCAUGCAGCGGGCCGGAUCAGACGCACCCGCCGUCUCUGCCUGCGCGUCGUCGCCCUCGUGCACGAGCGUCGUGCGGCGCGUGAUGCCCUCGGGCGUGUGCGCCGUGAUGAUCGAGAGCACCCUAUCGCGAUCAAGACCGCUUCCUAGAUAGCGGUGCGACGCCGGGCGGUCGCGUGCGGUCGCCGGAUCGGCAUCACGCACGCCCGACGGACACGCGCACGCGGCCUGGAGUUGUCGGUCAGGAUCGGGGUCGGCGGCCGCCGACGACAGCGCGUCGGUCCAUGCCCAAAAGGCGGCCGCGCGCUGUUUGACCUCAUCUGGUGCCACGGCAUAAAGGUAGACGGGCAGUGGUCGCGCCAGAGCGGCGUCUCCGGCCGGCACCAAGAUUUCUUCAACGGGCUGGCCCACGCCGCCCGACUGCGACACGGGCGCAUCGGCAUAGAGGCAGAGACGCACCAUUGGACGCCCCUUGUCGGCGGUAUGGCCGACCACCGUCGCGACGCGACACAGGCGCUUGUCGCGCGCGUGACGCAGUGCCGCACCGCCCAGAAUCACGCGAUCGCCGGGUGCACACGUGUAGACGAUGCCCGCAUGAGGAUCGGUGUAGGCGCUGUCAACGGUUGAUGGCGUGCCCGCGGGGCUGGCAAUGGUGCUGCGCCGCGGCGAGGCAGUCGAUGCGUGUGCGCCCAUCUUUGUCCUUGGUGGGGAUCGCUUUCUCUCUCUUGGCGGGCGCCCGUGCCGCCCCCUUUUUCAGAGCCCCCUGUUUUUUCCUGCUUUUUUGCGUCGGCGGCCCUUUGUGCCCGUCCUGCCCUCUUUUGUUUGUUGGUAUUUUUUGCGUCCUCGGGUCGGCCUCUGCGGGUCGCCCACAGGUUUUGGGGUGACCAAGAGGACAAAUUGUCUUUUUGCCAGCGCGCGUGUUUGCCUCUUUUUUUUGCACGCGCAGCAUUGUGUCGUAGUGAACCGCGGGCGCGCCCUCGCCCCACAACGGCCGCCCAACGCGAGACAAACCAUGC